RNAcentral lists this ribosomal RNA (349 nucleotides) under uncultured bacterium. Its description in RNAcentral is "bacterial SSU rRNA". It matches the Rfam family "Bacterial small subunit ribosomal RNA", at positions 32 to 359 of the family's 1533-position model. The record is from RNAcentral.
AAUCAACGCUGGCGGCGUGCCUCAGACAUGCAAGUCGAACGCGAAAGUCUCCUUCGGGGGACAAGUAGAGUGGCGCACGGGUGAGUAACACGUAGGUAAUCUACCUUCGGAUGGGGAAGUAACAAUCGGAAACGGUUAGCUAAUACCGCAUAAUGCAGCGGCACCUAAUGGUGACAGUUGUUAAAGCGGGGGAGUCGAAGACCUCGCGUCUGAAGAGGAGCCUGCGGCGGAUAGCUAGUUGGUAAGGUAAUGGCUUACCAAGGCUACGAUCCGUAACCGGCCUGAGAGGGCGGUCGGUCACACUGACACUGACAUACGGGUCAGACUCCUACGGGAGGCAGCAGUCGGG